GGGCCCGUCGUCUAGCCUGGUUAGGACGUCGCCCUGACGCGGCGGAGGUCCUGGGUUCAAAUCCCAGCGGGCCCA
Molecule: transfer RNA, 75 nt
Filed under: Saccharolobus islandicus
Lineage: Archaea; Thermoproteati; Thermoproteota; Thermoprotei; Sulfolobales; Sulfolobaceae
Also listed under: 4 other names
Description: tRNA-Val
Rfam family: tRNA
About the family: Transfer RNA (tRNA) molecules are approximately 80 nucleotides in length. Their secondary structure includes four short double-helical elements and three loops (D, anti-codon, and T loops).
Source: RNAcentral